GAUGAAGAACGCAGCGAAAUGCGAUAAGUAGUGUGAAUUGCAGAAUUCAGUGAAUCAUCGAAUCUUUGAACGCACAUUGCGCCCUUUGGUAUUCCUUAGGGCAUGCCUGUUCGAGCGUCAUUUAAACCUUCAAGCUCAGCUUGGUGAUGGGCGACUGUCCCCUCCCCUCGCGGGGGGGACUCGCCUCAAAAACAUUGGCGGCCGGUACAUUGGCUUCGAGCGCAGCAGAAACGCGGUCUCGAGCCCGGUGGAUCGGCUCCCAUAAGCCUAUUCUUUUAUUUUGACCUCGGAUCAGGUAGGGAUACCCGCUGAACUUAAGCAUAUCAAUAAGCGGAGGA
This 338-nucleotide unclassified non-coding RNA is filed under the name soil metagenome. RNAcentral's name for it is "partial contains 5.8S ribosomal RNA, internal transcribed spacer 2, and large subunit ribosomal RNA". The stretch from base 1 to 120 matches the Rfam family "5.8S ribosomal RNA", at positions 35 to 154 of the family's 154-position model. The record is from RNAcentral.